AAUACAGGACAGACAUCCGGUUAGACUUGAAUUUCAGAUAAGCAUCAAAUACUUUAAAAAUAUAAGUAUGUCUCAUGGAAUGUUUGGGAUAUACUUAUACUAAAAAGUAUUUGUUGUUGAUCUGAAAUCCAAAUUUAACUGGACAUCCCAUAUUUU
This 156-nucleotide microRNA precursor is filed under the name Vicugna pacos (alpaca). RNAcentral's name for it is "miRNA (ENSVPAG00000017117.1)". The stretch from base 54 to 105 matches the Rfam family "mir-1302 microRNA precursor family". The record is from RNAcentral. Lineage: Eukaryota; Metazoa; Chordata; Mammalia; Artiodactyla; Camelidae.